Molecule: ribosomal RNA, 502 nt
Filed under: uncultured Actinomycetes bacterium
Lineage: Bacteria; Bacillati; Actinomycetota; Actinomycetes
Description: bacterial SSU rRNA
Rfam family: Bacterial small subunit ribosomal RNA
Source: RNAcentral
AGAGUUUGAUCCUGGCUCAGGACGAACGCUGGCGGCGUGCUUAACACAUGCAAGUCGAGCGAGGCCCACACCUUCGGGUGUGGUGCCCUAGCGGCGAACGGGUGAGUAACACGUGGGCAACCUGCCCCUAGCACUGGGAUAAGCCCGGGAAACCGGGUCUAAUACCGGAUAUGACGUCGGAGGGCAUCCUCCGGCGUGGAAAGGAUUCUGGCUAGGGAUGGGCCCGCGGCCUAUCAGCUUGUUGGUGGGGUGAUGGCCCACCAAGGCGACGACGGGUAGCCGGCCUGAGAGGGCGACCGGCCACACUGGGACUGAGGCACGGCCCAGACUCCUACGGGAGGCAGCAGUGGGGAAUAUUGCACAAUGGGCGAAAGCCUGAUGCAGCGACGCCGCGUGAGGGAUGACGGCCUUCGGGUUGUAAACCUCUUUCAGCUCCGACGAAGCGAAAGUGACGGUAGGGGCAGAAGAAGCACCGGCCAACUACGUGCCAGCAGCCGCGGUA